Molecule: long non-coding RNA, 275 nt
Filed under: Homo sapiens (human)
Lineage: Eukaryota; Metazoa; Chordata; Mammalia; Primates; Hominidae
Description: non-protein coding lnc-PPP2R2C-1:1
Source: RNAcentral
CGCGGCAUGGCUUCCUCACCCAGAGUGAUGGAUCCGAGAGAGAGCAGCCAAACUGAAAGCCACAGCCUUUUGUAAGCAAACCUCAGAAGUGACAUCUCGUCACAUCUGCCAUAUUCUACUGGUCGCACAGACCUAUCCUGCUACAUGGAAGGAGCAGCAGGAAGGUGGUGGGGAUUGCUGGGACCAUCUUGGAGGCUGCCACAGACAUCCAAGCCCCUCCAGGCAGGACAAACCAGGAUGAGAGGACAGUGUCGGGUGUAGCUGCCACCACCCAG